CUCGGUGGCUCCCCCGCCCCCGUGCCUCCUGCAGCGCCCUAGCGCGCCCUCCAUCAGCGGCGCCCCCGGCCAGCACGACCUCCCUCGGCGGCGUCCAGCCCGCGAUCCACCGUUGAGCCAGGUAGCACUUCUUUUUCUACUUUUGUUACCAAGUCACAAAACAAUUCUUCAGACCAAUCUGGUCAGGGACAUUGGAAAACUCAAAGAUGGAAAGAUGUUCGUGAAGUUUGUUCUGUGCUUCGGGUUUUAGCAUUACCUGGUUUGAACAGUGGACUUACAUCUUUGGAACAACUUGGAAAUGUCACCCGGAUUGAUUCUUCUCUUAAAAGUCUGGAAUCAUUUGCUUCCAGCUCUCUUACUGGGUAAUAGAAAAAAAUUCUUGCCACAUUUGUGUGUUUACCUUGGUUCUUAAAGUUCAUCCAGAAACACCUUAACAAAUGAACACAGACUGACUGGUACUAAUUAUUUGCAGAUUUCUUAUGCUUAAUGUUGGCACUGCCCUAACUACUUUGAGAAUAUUCAGUUGGACAGAUAGUGAAGCAAUGACUAAAGUAAUACCCUUUUGUGGUCCAUUGAUUCACCUUGCUGUUUCAACAAACGGGGCUGAGCUGAGACAGUUUGUUAGAAAGGAUCUAUUUUCCUCUAUAACAUAGGGCUUAUCUGUUGAGUUGAAUGCCGUUGUUAGUGCAGAGCUUCUUGGACUUUGUCGCGAAAUAUAUCUUAAUCUAUCAGACAAAGAUCCUGCACCCAAUCAGGUAUUUCUUUUCUGAGAUCAUGACAAAGUAUAUCUGUAUUUGCAAAUUCUGUACUUUGUGGUUAUAUCAACACACUAAAUAUUGUGCCAAAAAAACAUUGUGAAUCUGAUGUCCCAGACUGUUGUCAGUACCACUCAAACUCACUGCAUUGAUCCUUUUUCCUUUUUCACUUUGGCUUUGGUGGCUUUGGUCAUGCACAGUUCAGAAAGUAAAACAGGAACACAAGGUCAUCAGUGAACUAUUUUUACACAGUAAGAUAUGCAUAUUAUUUGCAGUGAAAAAAUGUUGAACUAUUUAGAUCAUGGACAAUGAGUUUGGCUUCAUCACCAAAUGUGACCAAAAAGUUUUAGGCUGACAAGUAUCACUAGAACUGGUAAGUAUCACCAAAGGCUUACUUCAGCAGCACGUGACAUGUUCCGCUCAACAGCUACUAUCUCAGUUGUCUUCCUCAACUCUGUUAUCCCUCCGACACGGCCGAUGUCUCUACCAUGCUGAGCCACUCCACCACGACAUUCAUCGCCUCUCACCUCCAACAGUAGCCUCCCUAUGUUGCAGCUAUGGCUUCUGCUCCUCAAUUUUGCUUCUUCAUGCGUUCUUAUGUAACGGAAAUUAUGAACAUUUUUUCCUCAUUACGAACACUUUUUUCCUCAUUAUGAACACUUGUGAAUUUGGCAUGAAUGAGUGAUUCGAUGCAGCAAAAGCAAACCCCAAUUAGCCUUAUAUGGAAAGUAGAUGGAUUUGAAAAAUUAAUGCUAAGGAAUGAUUUGGCCUUUGCAUGUCUGAAUCAGCGAACUUACUGGUCAAACUGGAAUCAAACAGUGCUUAGUACCAAAUUAAGCCAGUCGUGAAAGUUAUGUCGUUCGUUGUAAGCCAACAGGUGCAGUUUUGUUUGAAUCGAAUUUAUGAUUUGCGAGAUACAACCACAAUACUAAAGCUGACCUCGAGUUUCGAAUUAGAGCAAAUAACUAUUUAGCCCCUUUUCAGCAAUUUGGAGAUAGAGUUGCAGUAUGCUUGUAAUAUGGAAGUUGUAAAAAAAAUUGAAAGAGAGCUAUGGCAUCCUUUGCUAUGAUAGAUGGCUUGUUGUAUUUAAAUAUGCUAUAGAGGAUUACACGAAAAAUAUUUUGCUUAAUUUCUCUAUUUUGCUUGUGUUCUUCUGUUAUUUUGGUCUUCGGAUCACGUUUUUGUAAGUUGAGUCACCUUCUUUGCCGUCUACAAAAAUAAAAUGCAUGUUUGAAAAGAGACCCAUAAAUUGUUUUAUGUAAGGAACAUCAACAAAAACCUUAUUUUUGUAAUUUAUUCUCCACAAGUUUGUUCUGAAUCAUUUGUACAUAACUGAACUCUGCAUGCAUUAAGAUUGUACCAUGACUGAAUUAGUUAUGGCACAAGUAAUUAAUAAGCAUAGAGUUCAGUUAUGUACAAUAUGGAAGUUGUAAAAAAAAUUGUAAGAGAGCUAUGGUAUCCUUUGCUAUGAUAGAUGUCUUGCUUUAUUUAAAUGUGCUAUAGAGGAUUACACGGAAAAUACUUUGCUUAAUUUCUCUAUUUUGCUUGUGUUCUUACUGUUAUUUUGGUUUUCGGAUCAUGAUUUGUAAGUUGAGUCGCCUUCUUUGCCAUCUACUAAUACGAAAUGCAUGUUUGAAAAGAGACCCAUAGAUUUUUUUUAUGUAAGAAACAUCAACCAAAACCUUAAUACAUGCAGGGGAGCCAUCUUCAUUGGUUGCAAGUAGAUAUAAGAAGACAAUGUUAAAUUUAUGGGCAAACUCAAUCCGUCUUGACAAGGUGCCAAGGUCGUUGAGCUGACCGAUCAACUCUCAAAUCAGUGGGAUGACCAGCUGGUGAGGCAAACUUUUAUCCCGGAAGACACUCAUGUGAUCCUUCGCAUCCCAAUCUGCGAACACUAUGAGGAUUUGAUAGAUGGCAACCUGACAGCAAGGGCAUGUUUUUGGUGACGUUAUCCUAAAGAGUUCACCUUGAUCUGCUACAGAACCAGAAGACCAAGCCACCGGGAGAGUGCUCAUCGUGUAACAUGGGGCAAGACAAUUUAUGUCGUGAUCUCUGGAAAGUGUACUGCCUGCCAAAGAUCCAUCAUUUUUUGUGGCGUUUUGCACACAAUAUUCACCACCUUCCGAGAGAUGUUGAAAGGAUUGGGGUGGUGCUUAACACAGAUUGUGUGCUAUGUCAUAGGCUUCCUGAGGAUGGUGCACACUUGUUUCUAUGCUAUAAGGAAGUCGGGAAAAUGUGGAGAGCUUGCAACUUGGAACAUGUCUGUAGCCAACUGUUGGACUGCCAAACCCCGAAGGAGGUUCUUCUAGCCCUGUUGAAAAUGUCAAAUGAAGUGAAGACGUGAGCUAUUGCUCUUCUAUCGUCCUGGUGGAGUGAGAGAAAGAAAGUGAAUCACAACCAAAAGCACAUGUCUGAGAUGGAAUUUUAAUUUAACAUCGCUAGGUGUGCUCAAUGGAAAGAGUUCCUCGAGGCUAAACCUCCUGGUGUGCAGAAACAUGUUUCUUCCUGGUUGAAACCCCCCACUGAUUUUAUCAAACUAAACGUGGAUGCAGCGUUCCGAGAUGAAUCAAAGGAGGGUGGGUGGGGCCUGAUUGCUAGGGAUGCUGACGGAGAUUGUGCUACUGUCGGACGUCUAACAGCUCAGUCCAGCGCUUUGCAAGCUGAGGCUACAACCCUUCUGCAGGCAAUCCAAUUUGAUGAAAUACAAGGUGUGGGGCGUGCGAUUUUUGAAACCGAUUCCAUGGGUCUGCAACAGUAAGUUACCUCUACAUCACCAGACCGGUCUCCGUUGGGGGUACUCUUCCGUCAAGCCGAAUAUCUACUCCAGUUAGGUUUCACAGAGGCCAAAGUCAUGUACUGUCCGAGAGCUUGUAAUAAACCAACACAUGUGUUGGCGAACCUUGGUAGCCGGAGUGCAUUGGGAGCCAGGUCUUCUGGCCUCCAGACCUCCCGCUGGAUGUAACCUGGGUUGUGACCGCCAAUUGUGUUUGUCCAUCGUAAGUUUGGAAUGCAAGGUGUUCCAGUUAAAAAAAGAAGAUACUACCAUACUUGUGGAGAGGAGAAAUUGAUCAACUAUUUAAUAGUCAUUCGUAGGAUUGAGCAAGUGUUGCAUAAAUUCAAUUUUUUGAUUGCAUGUGCUCAGGACUAACCUGCUCACCAUGUGUAAAUUCAUCUUGAAAAUCAGCUUGUUCAAAAAGCUUGGUGAUCUUGGCCAGACAAAUUCUUCACUUGGUUGUUGGAUCACAAUGGUGACUCACUUUCAAAAAUGCAAUUUGAGUGACAUGCUAUUUUGUAUCUAUUUCAUUUCUAUUUUUCUGCAAAAGUUAUUUUAAAUUUGUAACAUGUAAACUAACUUCAUCAACAUUUUAGACGUGCAUUGCACGUGCAAGCUUA
Molecule: long non-coding RNA, 4148 nt
Filed under: Triticum aestivum (bread wheat)
Lineage: Eukaryota; Viridiplantae; Streptophyta; Magnoliopsida; Poales; Poaceae
Description: long non-coding RNA (TAES_LNC003752)
Source: RNAcentral